GAUUGCUGGAGUUGAUGAACAAGCCUACAUAACAGUGCAUCCUAACACUUCACAAGCAAGAGACAACAGCCUUCCAUCAGAAGAGGAAGGAUGAACACUGUGCCUCACUGCUGAUCAUCCAGAGCCAUUGCCUUUCCUCUGCUACUCAGGAACAGCAGCCUUUCAGAGAGCCACUUGUACACAUAUUUCUGCUAAAAUAACCCAGACUGCAUCUGUGAACACAGCCAGAACCCCACGUGAACCCAUUACUAAUGGAUCCAGCCUCAGUGAUGCCGAAGACAUCCUGUUGUUGUGAAGGUGUGACUCACAAAUGAGGGAGAGCAGUCAAACAAGAAGGAAGAUUUUAUGCAUCCAGAAGGUUCUCGCAGGAGAUGUACUGACCACUGCGCAAAUCAUCUCUCUUUGUGACCAAGCAGCUCUACAGCAGGAAGUGAGAGUUCAUUUACAGGCAUCCAAGUCUAAGACACAAGUUCAAAUAUGUGUACCUGGCAAAACACCCUUCAGCGUUUGUCUGAAGUUUAACCCCUUGGCUGCUCGUUAUACCAGCAAACAGCUGCAGUUGCUGUGCAUUUAGAAUGCUCUGAAAUGCCUUUUUGGAAGUUUCACCUCAGCAGUCACCUUGUGAACUGCAACAUAAUAAGCAUCAUGCAUUAUCCAUGCUACUACCAAAGAAUUUAAAGCGACAUAACUCAGAAGUUAUUCUACAGAGAUAACAGGAUGGAAAAUGUGAGGUGUGAUGGACACUAGAGAGAGAGUGUCCUCUGAUGGUAAAUAUCACAGCAGCUUUGUUUACAGAAGCAUUCACAGCAUCCUGAAGUACCAGGAAACUCAGCACAGUGCACUCCAAUUAAGGUGCAUUCCACAGAAGCCUGCCAAUGGCAGCUCUGCUAAACGUCAACAGGAUACCAGGGGAGCAGGUUGAAACAGCAGCUUUCAUGCUGGAUCAAAACAAAUUUCUGCAGCACUUUUUUUCCCUCCCCACCCUCAUCUCCCCCUUCCAGUGCUAUUUCAAGCACACUGUGGAAUACCUACUACAAAUUCCUAGUGCAGGCCACCACCUCUCCACUUUCCAGAAGGAAGCUGAAGGCUACCUGUCUGUGCCACCUGGUAUUGGGAAAGACUGCAAACAGGAGCAGUGAGCAGGUUGUUUGACCAGGAAGGUUAACUGCACUCCUUUAUCUUUUUACAGCAAUGCCUGUAACUGUAUUUAAACAGGGAGUAGAAGAUGCUAUCAUGUAUCUAAAAGUCUGAUUGAUUGCAUUUUCCUGCCUAAUUUCAACAGAACUCCUCAGUGGUGGUAAGAAUUUUUCCAGUAGUUUAUCAGCUCACCUUAGUAAAAGACAUGGCAGUUGUGUGCCAGGAAUUGGUAACCAUAUAUGCUCUUAAAUCUUCCUGUCUGUCAUGAUUUCAUACAUAUUCAUGCAGGAAAACACCGCUCUGGAGACCACUACAUGAUUAUGGUUUUCAUUAGUGACCUAAAAAGUAGUCCAGGUGUCAAGACAUAAAAUUUUCCUGCUGAGAUCUUCCUUCCAUGAAGAAAGGUAACUACUGUAGCUAUUAGAAGCUGCACACAGAGCACCUUUGAAUGGCAAAACAGAACCAUUUGUCUGAUAACAGAAGCACAGAGAUAACCUCCCCUGAAGAACUACAAGUAUAAUAAACCUUUGGUUGACCUCC
This is a long non-coding RNA of Pogoniulus pusillus (Red-fronted tinkerbird), 1677 nucleotides long. RefSeq lists it as uncharacterized. Lineage: Eukaryota; Metazoa; Chordata; Aves; Piciformes; Lybiidae. The transcript is spliced from 3 exons. The record is from RefSeq and is a predicted model, not a curated record.